RNAcentral lists this ribosomal RNA (497 nucleotides) under uncultured bacterium. RNAcentral's name for it is "partial 16S ribosomal RNA". It matches the Rfam family "Bacterial small subunit ribosomal RNA", at positions 28 to 507 of the family's 1533-position model. The record is from RNAcentral.
GAUGAACGCUGGCGGCGUGCCUAAUACAUGCAAGUCGAGCGAACGGACGAGAAGCUUGCUUCUCUGAUGUUAGCGGCGGACGGGUGAGUAACACGUGGAUAACCUACCUAUAAGACUGAGAUAACUUCGGGAAACCGGAGCUAAUACCGGAUAAUAUUUUGAACCGCAUGGUUCAAAAGUGAAAGACGGUCUUGCUGUCACUUAUAGAUGGAUCCGCGCUGCAUUAGCUAGUUGGUAAGGUAACGGCUUACCAAGGCAACGAUGCAUAGCCGACCUGAGAGGGUGAUCGGCCACACUGGAACUGAGACACGGUCCAGACUCCUACGGGAGGCAGCAGUAGGGAAUCUUCCGCAAUGGGCGAAAGCCUGACGGAGCAACGCCGCGUGAGUGAUGAAGGUCCUCGGAUCGUAAAACUCUGUUAUUAGGGAAGAACAUAUGUGUAAGUAACUGUGCACAUCUUGACGGUACCUAAUCAGAAAGCCACGGCUAACUACGUG